AACGAACGCUCGCGGCUGAUUAGCUUGUUGGUAAGGUAAGAGCUUACCAAGGCGACGAUCAGUAUCUGGUUUGAGAGGACGAUCAGACACACUGGAACUGAGACACGGUCCAGACUCCUACGGGAGGCAGCAGUGGGGAAUUUUCCGCAAUGGGCGAAAGCCUGACGGAGCAAUACCGCGUGAGGGAAGACUGCCUAUGGGUUGUAAACCUCUUUUUUCAGGGAGGAAUAAAAUGACGUGUACCUGAAGAAUAAGCAUCGGCUAACUCCGUGCCAGCAGCCGCGGU
Molecule: ribosomal RNA, 286 nt
Filed under: uncultured bacterium
Lineage: Bacteria
Description: partial 16S ribosomal RNA
Rfam family: Bacterial small subunit ribosomal RNA
Source: RNAcentral